RNAcentral lists this ribosomal RNA (495 nucleotides) under uncultured bacterium. RNAcentral describes it as "partial 16S ribosomal RNA". It matches the Rfam family "Bacterial small subunit ribosomal RNA", at positions 29 to 506 of the family's 1533-position model. The record is from RNAcentral.
AUGAACGCUGGCGGCGUGCCUAAUACAUGCCAGUCGAGCGAACGGACGAGAAGCUUGCUUCUCUGAUGUUAGCGGCGGACGGGUGAGUAACACGUGGAUAACCUACCUAUAAGACUGGGAUGACUUCGGGAAACCGGAGCUAAUACCGGAUGAUAUUUUGAACCGCAUGGUUCAAAAGUGAAAGACGGUCUUGCUGUCACUUAUAGAUGGAUCCGCGCUGCAUUAGCUAGUUGGUAAGGUAACGGCUUACCAAGGCAACGAUGCAUAGCCGACCUGAGAGGGUGAUCGGCCACACUGGAACUGAGACACGGUCCAGACUCCUACGGGAGGCAGCAGUAGGGAAUCUUCCGCAAUGGGCGAAAGCCUGACGGAGCAACGCCGCGUGAGUGAUGAAGGUCUUCGGAUCGUAAAACGCUGUUAUUAGGGAAGAACAUAUGUGUAAGUAACUGUGCACAUCUUGACGGUACCUAAUCAGAAAGCCACGGCUAACUACGU